ACACCGGCGGCCCGAGUGGUGAUCGUGAUUAUUGGGUCUAAAGGGUCCGUAGCCGGCUUGGUCAGUCCUCCGGGAAAUCUGAUAGCUCAACUAUUAGGCUUUCGGGGGAUACUGCCAGACUUGGAACCGGGAGAGGUAAGAGGUACUACAGGGGUAGGAGUGAAAUCUUGUAAUCCCUGUGGGACCACCUGUGGCGAAGGCGUCUUACCAGAACGGGUUCGACGGUGAGGGACGAAAGCUGGGGGCACGAACCGGAUUAGAUACCCGGGUAGUCCCAGCCGUAAACGAUGCUCGCUAGGUGUCAGGCAUGGCGCGACCGUGUCUGGUGCCGCAGGGAAGCCGUGAAGCGAGCCACCUGGGAAGUACGGCCGCAAGGCUGAAACUUAAAGGAAUUGGCGGGG
Molecule: ribosomal RNA, 401 nt
Filed under: uncultured bacterium
Lineage: Bacteria
Description: partial 16S ribosomal RNA
Rfam family: Archaeal small subunit ribosomal RNA
Source: RNAcentral